This 253-nucleotide ribosomal RNA is filed under the name uncultured bacterium. RNAcentral describes it as "partial 16S ribosomal RNA". It matches the Rfam family "Bacterial small subunit ribosomal RNA", at positions 524 to 776 of the family's 1533-position model. The record is from RNAcentral.
UACGUAGGGUGCGAGCGUUGUCCGGAUUUAUUGGGCGUAAAGGGCUCGUAGGCGGCUUGUCGCGUCGGGAGUGAAAGCCCGCUGCUUAACGGCGGGUUUGCUUUCGGUACGGGCAGGCUGGGGUACGGCAGGGGAGACUGGAAUUCCUGGUGUAGCGGUGGAAUGCGCAGAUAUCAGGAGGAACACCGGUGGCGAAGGCGGGUCUCUGGGCCGUUACUGACGCUGAGGAGCGAAAGCGUGGGGAGCGAACAGG